This is a long non-coding RNA of Sorghum bicolor (sorghum), 368 nucleotides long. RefSeq lists it as uncharacterized. Lineage: Eukaryota; Viridiplantae; Streptophyta; Magnoliopsida; Poales; Poaceae. The record is from RefSeq and is a predicted model, not a curated record. The transcript is spliced from 2 exons.
GCCAGGGAGUCUGCAUUGUGGAUACUAUGUAUGUGCUUUCAUCAGUAACACAAAAGGCUACAGGAGACACCCUGAAUUGUGGAAAGAAGAAAAAGGACUAAAAAGGGAUGUCUACAGGGAUGAUGACCUCUUAGAGAUUGUCGGUGACCUUUGCAACUUUAUAAUGGACCAUGUUGUUUAUUACAAAGGUGAUUACCAUAACCCACAGUCCGACUUAGGUAGCAAUCCUCUUUACCAGCACCUCCGUCAGUGGGAUAGGCUAUGUCUAGGUCGUUGAUUACAUGUGAACUUGUUGGAAUGGACUGUGAUCGAUUUGUAUUAGUACCUGAAAAAUUUCGGACUCUUUUGGAUGGAUUUGGACAUGGAAA